RNAcentral lists this long non-coding RNA (679 nucleotides) under Vulpes vulpes (red fox). RNAcentral's name for it is "lncRNA (ENSVVUG00000018750.1)". The stretch from base 338 to 446 matches the Rfam family "Rhabdomyosarcoma 2 associated transcript conserved region 3". Lineage: Eukaryota; Metazoa; Chordata; Mammalia; Carnivora; Canidae. The record is from RNAcentral.
GAACAAUCAAGCAUAAUGGCAAGAUCAAGCUUGGUGUCAGGCUGUAUGACUUGUAAUUCUGUGAAAUUAUAAAACUUGUGAACAAAAGGGAAUGAGAAAUAUGUAACUGUGGAAGAUUCUCAGGCUGAUGGAGUGAGUGACAGAGUGGGUUGCCAACUCGAGUGACUCCACUCAGCGUACACAGUGGCUACGGGGGAUAGAUUCAGACAUGCCCAAAGAAGUCUGCCCAGGGGGAGACUCAUACCUUUGAGGUUUAAAUCAGGAUGAAGUUAUGCUUAAUAGCCUCUGUUUAAUUCAUUCAGAAACUACACGAUUCUUGUUGCUAUAUUUUGUUAAAAAGGAAGGAGAGGCUGUUUCUACAGGUGUUACAGAAAAAUCAAUACUGAGCCACGGAUUAUUGGAUCCCAUAGAACCAUGGAGACUUGGCAGUGAAAUUCUUCCAAAGGCAGACGGUGUUCCUAGGUUUGGAAGUAUAAAUCCCAGGGGAAGUGAGCUGAAGAACAUUUCAUGCAUCACUCAUCCUAUUAUGAGCCCUGUGCUGUUCCAUCUCUCUACAAGACUGGCAGAAACAACAACAAAAACUGUUUAUAAUUUACAUUCUAACUUUGGAUCACCUAGCUCAAACCCUGACUCUGACUACCCAGAGAGACAAGGCUUUGAAGGAAGAAGUAGCUAUUAG